This 433-nucleotide ribosomal RNA is filed under the name uncultured bacterium. RNAcentral describes it as "partial 16S ribosomal RNA". It matches the Rfam family "Bacterial small subunit ribosomal RNA", at positions 29 to 507 of the family's 1533-position model. The record is from RNAcentral.
AACGAACGCUGGCGGCAGGCCUAACACAUGCAAGUCGAGCGAGGACUUCGGUUCUAGCGGCGGACGGGUGAGUAACGCGUGGGAAUGUGCCCUUCUCUACGGAAUAGCCCUGGGAAACUGGGAGUAAUACAGUAUACGCCCUAUUGGGGAAAGAUUUAUCGGAGAAGGAUCAGCCCGCGUUGGAUUAGGUAGUUGGUGGGGUAAUGGCCUACCAAGCCGACGAUCCAUAGCUGGUUUGAGAGGAUGCUCAGCCACACUGGGACUGAGACACGGCCCAGACUCCUACGGGAGGCAGCAGUGUAGAGUCUUAGACACUGGGGGCAACUCUGAUCUAGCCAUGCCGCGUAUGUGAUGAAGGCCUUAGGGUUGUAAAUCUCUCUCAGCUGGGAAGAUAAUGACGGUACCAGCAGAAGAAGCCCCGGCUAACUCCGUG